GAUGAAGAACGUAGUGAAAUGCGAUAAGUAGUGUGAAUUGCAGAAUUCAGUGAAUCAUCGAAUCUUUGAACGCACAUUGCGCCCCUUGGUAUUCCGGGGGGCAUGCCUGUUCGAGCGUCAUUUCACCACUCAAGCCUCGCUUGGUAUUGGGCAACGCGGUCCGCCGCGUGCCUCAAAUCGACCGGCUGGGUCUUCUGUCCCCUAAGCGUUGUGGAAACUAUUCGCUAAAGGGUGUUCGGGAGGCUACGCCGUAAAACAACCCCAUUUCUAAGGUUGACCUCGGCUCAGGUAGGGAUACCCGCUGAACUUAAGCAUAUCAAUAAGCGGAGGA
This 331-nucleotide unclassified non-coding RNA is filed under the name soil metagenome. Its description in RNAcentral is "partial contains 5.8S ribosomal RNA, internal transcribed spacer 2, and large subunit ribosomal RNA". The stretch from base 1 to 120 matches the Rfam family "5.8S ribosomal RNA", at positions 35 to 154 of the family's 154-position model. The record is from RNAcentral.